AUAAGCCAGCAUACUUAUAGGGGGCGUUUAUACUCAUGAGUUACCCUUUUCGUCUUUUUUUCUCUUUAAAGAAUCCUUCUUCAACCAGUUUUAUAACGACAUUAAGAUUUGUUUCAAUUUUUUUUUUUUUUUUAUUUGUAUUCGGAACACUUAUUUUUUUUACCCUCACCGCUAUGGUAAAAGCUGCAAUCGCUGCUGCAGAUUGGGCACACUGUAUG
This 218-nucleotide long non-coding RNA is filed under the name Mytilus galloprovincialis (Mediterranean mussel). Lineage: Eukaryota; Metazoa; Mollusca; Bivalvia; Mytilida; Mytilidae. The record is from RNAcentral.